GUUUAGUUGGUAAAGCGCUCGUCUAGCAUACAAGAGUCCUGGGUUCAAAUCCCAG
RNAcentral lists this transfer RNA (55 nucleotides) under Aedes aegypti (yellow fever mosquito). It matches the Rfam family "tRNA", at positions 10 to 63 of the family's 71-position model. Rfam says of the family: Transfer RNA (tRNA) molecules are approximately 80 nucleotides in length. Lineage: Eukaryota; Metazoa; Arthropoda; Insecta; Diptera; Culicidae. The record is from Rfam by way of RNAcentral.